Molecule: small RNA, 48 nt
Filed under: bovine gut metagenome
Description: DUF3800-XI RNA
Rfam family: DUF3800-XI RNA
About the family: Actinobacteria, Firmicutes, Proteobacteria, Spirochaetes (1 example).
Source: RNAcentral
UGGGCUGGUCGAAAGACCCGGGUCCACAUGCUGGCGGGCGUAAUGCCC